Molecule: non-coding RNA, 21 nt
Filed under: Caenorhabditis elegans
Lineage: Eukaryota; Metazoa; Nematoda; Chromadorea; Rhabditida; Rhabditidae
Source: RNAcentral
UCAUACUCAGUGCUCUUUCGA